ACAGUGUCCAGGUCUCCAGACUCAUGUGGCUUUACUGAACCGUGCGGCCUCAGCAGUAUGCACAGUGUCCAGGUCUCCAGAGUCAGGUGGCUUUACUGAGCCAUGUGACCUCAGCAGUAUGCACAGUGUCCAGGUCUCCAGACUCAGGUGGCUUUACUGAGCCAUGUGACCUCAGCAGUAUGCACAGUGUCCAGGUCUCCAGACUCAGGUGGCUUUACUGAGCCGUGCGGCCUCAGCAGUAGUGCACAGUGUCCAGGUCUCCAGAGUCAGGUGGCUUUACUGAGCCGUGCGGCCUCAGCAUUAUGCACAGUGUCCAGGUCUCCAGAGUCAGGUGGCUUUACUGAGCCGUGCGGCCUCAGCAGUAUGCACAGAGUCCAGGUCUCCAGAGUCAGGUGGCUUUACUGAGCUGUGCGGCCUCAGCAGUAUGCACAGUGUCCAGGUCUCCAGAGUCAGGUGGCUUUACUGAGCCAUGUGACCUCAGCAGUAUGCACAGUGUCCAGGUGUCCAGAGUCAGGUGGCUUUACUGAGCCGAGCGGCCUCAGCAGUAGUGCACAGUGUCCAGGUCUCCA
Long non-coding RNA from Erinaceus europaeus (western European hedgehog), 569 nucleotides. RefSeq lists it as uncharacterized. NCBI's taxonomy places the organism in Eukaryota, Metazoa, Chordata, Mammalia, Eulipotyphla, Erinaceidae. The record is from RefSeq and is a predicted model, not a curated record. The transcript has 6 exons.